AUGGUAAGCGACGACUCUACAGCAACUCCGCAGCACCACCUUGUCACUUGUGUACUGAACACAUCAAUGAGAGCAAGGGCAAAACCUCUGCCUGUCCAUGAAUCAGUCAGAGAUCGAUGCACCAAGCUAGACGCGCUGCUACCGGCCGUGAACUCCUUGCAGAGCGCGCGGGACGAUGGUGACUACGACUACGAGCUAUUAAUAUGGACGCACGCCCGUGACUCUGACGCGGCAGAAACACUUCCUCCCAAGCCACUAUACCUCAUCUCCUCCUCGACUCGUGCUAUGGGAAACGACAUAGCAUCUCGCACGGCCGCGGCGUCGCAAGAUCAGCCUGCCGAGGUUCAAGCGCUACAUGAUGGUCAAAGGAGAGUGCGUGUACCUGUCAUGAACGACUACGAGGAUCCAUGGGACAACGCCAACGACGUACCAGGACAUGGCGUUACCGAUCUGAACGGCAGCGGCGCACGCCGUGAUUCCGUGGGAGCUGGAGGUGCCGAUAUUGGCGCUGCUUCCUCGUCAAGGCGAAAGAAGAAAGGGAGAAAGCCAGGUGUUGGCUUCUUCCGUGGCGAGCGCGUUCAUGACGACUUCACUCAGUUCAGUGUCGUGCUUUGCGGCGACGGCCUUAGCAAGCCCGUCGUUCCUCCCAAUCUGUCUCAGAUCGUGCCUGGGAAAGCCCCCCCGAGUCGUCCGUAUCGGCACUGGCGGUGA
This 711-nucleotide ribosomal RNA is filed under the name Triticum aestivum (bread wheat). Its description in RNAcentral is "partial small subunit ribosomal RNA". Lineage: Eukaryota; Viridiplantae; Streptophyta; Magnoliopsida; Poales; Poaceae. The record is from RNAcentral.